This 86-nucleotide transfer RNA is filed under the name Cordylochernes scorpioides. RNAcentral's name for it is "tRNA-Tyr". Lineage: Eukaryota; Metazoa; Arthropoda; Arachnida; Pseudoscorpiones; Chernetidae. The record is from RNAcentral.
UCCCUCAAGCCGGAUUUGAACCGCAACCUAAGGAUCACCGUUGUAACAUCUACAGUCCUCCGCUCUGCCAACUGAGCUAUCGAGGG